GUGAAUCAUCAAAUUUUUGAACGCAAAUUGCACUCUCCGGGGAGAGUAUGCGUGUUUGAGGGUGAGCCUAUGAAAAAUCGACAUCGGUGCUGUUUCGCGGGGGCGUGCGUCGGUAAAUGGGUCAUCUUAAAACUUUUGGUUUUAAGCGACUUAAACUUUUCCUUUUGGUUCCAUGAACGUUUCUAAGAUUUAUUUCUUUACACGUUUAAGG
This 211-nucleotide unclassified non-coding RNA is filed under the name Glomus sp. RNAcentral's name for it is "partial contains 5.8S ribosomal RNA and internal transcribed spacer 2". The stretch from base 1 to 65 matches the Rfam family "5.8S ribosomal RNA", at positions 84 to 154 of the family's 154-position model. The record is from RNAcentral. Lineage: Eukaryota; Fungi; Glomeromycota; Glomeromycetes; Glomerales; Glomeraceae.